Mustela erminea (ermine) is the source of this 727-nucleotide long non-coding RNA. RefSeq lists it as uncharacterized. The transcript is spliced from 3 exons. NCBI's taxonomy places the organism in Eukaryota, Metazoa, Chordata, Mammalia, Carnivora, Mustelidae. The record is from RefSeq and is a predicted model, not a curated record.
ACAGUUUCCAGGCUGGAGAUUGGCACAUGGGGAGCUUGGAUUGAUCCCUAGGGGUUGGGUCCACAUACACGUGGGUGAGCCCCCGUGAGACUCGCUUGUCAAGUCGAGAGGCACUAUGCCUUCUGAACCGCUGAAGGAAAAAGGUCUCCAGAUCGUAUCUGUCCAACCAAAGGAAGCGGAGGAAGGGGAAAAAAAUAGAAAUGAGGAAACAUAAUAAACACAAAACACAAAUAGUUCAAAAACAUGGAAACGGACAACGGUCAUGGGAGAUGCAGGAACACUGCUUUGCCUUCCACGCCAACAAUUUGAAAACAGAGCUGAAAUGAAAAUGCCCGGGGCAGCCUACAUUAUCAGCCUUCUUUCAAGGAUGCGUUCCCCAAAUGAUUAUCCAACCUACUGGUUCUCUGCCCUGGCCUCCAUCAGAACCACCUGAGCUGCGCAGAGAGCACCCGGGGGAACUGGUGUCGCCGGCCUGGCGUGGAGCACAGGCACAGGGCUGUCUUAGCGUCCUCUGCCAGGCAGCCUGGGUGGAGACCGCUGUCCCUGCACUCUGCCACUGACACGAUGAUGAACCGAUUUUGCUCCGGACACCGAAAACCAUUCGUUUGGCCCAGUUUUGUCCUUCCGAGGGCAGGCAACAGCUGGAGCCAGACCAUGAAGCCAGCCAGCAUGGCUAAUUGAAAACCACAAGGGGCUCCCUUCUCCAGAGAGAUGGAGCUGCUCUCAC